UACGAAGGGGGCUAGCGUUGCUCGGAAUCACUGGGCGUAAAGCGCACGUAGGCGGACUCUUAAGUCGGUGGUGAAAUCCUGGAGCUCAACUCCAGAACUGCCUUCGAUACUGGGAGUCUCGAGUUCGGGAGAGGUGAGUGGAACUGCGAGUGUAGAGGUGAAAUUCGUAGAUAUUCGCAAGAACACCAGUGGCGAAGGCGGCUCACUGGCCCGAUACUGACGCUGAGACGCGAAAGCGUGGGUAGCAAACAGG
RNAcentral lists this ribosomal RNA (253 nucleotides) under uncultured bacterium. Its description in RNAcentral is "partial 16S ribosomal RNA". It matches the Rfam family "Bacterial small subunit ribosomal RNA", at positions 524 to 776 of the family's 1533-position model. The record is from RNAcentral.